CGCUAUUGGAUGAGCCUGCGUUGGAUUAGCUUGUUGGUGGGGUAAAGGCCUACCAAGGCGACGAUCCAUAGCUGGUCUGAGAGGAUGAUCAGCCACACUGGGACUGAGACACGGCCCAGACUCCUACGGGAGGCAGCAGUGGGGAAUCUUGCACAAUGGAGGAAACUCUGAUGCAGCGAUGCCGCGUGAGUGAAGAAGGCCUUUGGGUUGUAAAGCUCUUUCGUCGGGGAAGAAAAUGACUGUACCCGAAUAAGAAGGUCCGGCUAACUUCGUGCCAGCAGCCGCGGUAAUACGAAGGGACCUAGCGUAGUUCGGAAUUACUGGGCUUAAAGAGUUCGUAGGUGGUUGAAAAAGUUGGUGGUGAAAUCCCAGAGCUUAACUCUGGAACUGCCAUCAAAACUUUUCAGCUAGAGUAUGAUAGAGGAAAGCAGAAUUUCUAGUGUAGAGGUGAAAUUCGUAGAUAUUAGAAAGAAUACCAAUUGCGAAGGCAGCUUUCUGGAUCAUUACUGACACUGAGGAACGAAAGCAUGGGUAGCGAACAGGAUUAGAUACCCUGGUAGUCCACGCCGUAAACGAUGACAACUAGCUGUUGGGAGACAAUGUCUUUCAGUGGCGCAGCUAACGUUUUAAGUUGUCCGCCUGGGGAGUACGGCCGCAAGGCUAAAACUCAAAUGAAUUGACGGGGACCCGCACAAGCGGUGGAGCAUGUGGUUUAAUUCGAUGCAACGCGAAAAACCUUACCUACUCUUGACAUACUUGGAAGCUCUUGUAAUGAGAGUGUGCCUUUUGGAGCCAAGAUACAGGUGCUGCAUGGCUGUCGUCAGCUCGUGUCGUGAGAUGUUCCGUUAAGUCGGAUAACGAGCGCAACCCUUACCCUUAUUUGCCAGCGAUUCGGUCGGGAACUAUAAGGGGACUGCCGGUGAUAAACCGGAGGAAGGUGGGGACGACGUCAAGUCCUCAUGGCCCUUACGGGAUGGGCUACACACGUGCUACAAUGGCAGUGACAAUGGGUUAAUCCCCAAAAGCUGUCUCAGUUCGGAUUGAGGUCUGAAACUCGACCUCAUGAAGUCGGAAUCGCUAGUAAUCGCGUAACAGCAUGACGCGGUGAAUACGUUCCCGGGUCUUGUACACACCGCCCGUCACACCAUGGAAGUGUGUUGUACCAGAAGCAGGUAGACUAACCUUCGGGAGGUCGCCUACCACGGUAUGAUUCAUGACUAGGGUUAAGUCAUAACAAGGUAGCCGUA
This 1247-nucleotide ribosomal RNA is filed under the name uncultured bacterium. Its description in RNAcentral is "partial 16S ribosomal RNA". It matches the Rfam family "Bacterial small subunit ribosomal RNA", at positions 216 to 1504 of the family's 1533-position model. The record is from RNAcentral.